Molecule: long non-coding RNA, 1850 nt
Organism: Oreochromis aureus
Lineage: Eukaryota; Metazoa; Chordata; Actinopteri; Cichliformes; Cichlidae
Source: Ensembl
AGCGGCCGAACAUCCAUGAAGACUGACGCUCUGGAAACUGGAGACCUCAGCCUGAACCUGACCAACCUCCAACAGUCUGACAGCGCCACCUACACCUGCUCCAUCAGAGACCUUAAAUUUGGCUCAGAGAGACUGGGAGAUGUACAGCUGCAGGUCAAAGAACGGUUUCCAUCCUGGGCCAAAGCUCUCCUGGUUCUCCUGGUUCUUGUUCUCAUUGUCUCUGGAGGUCUUUUAUUUUAUUUCCGGCAGUAUUUCAUGUCAGUUUACCAGGUGGAGGUGGAUUCAGGGGUGGAGUCUGUCCAGCUUAUCUGCAAAACUAUAGUUUGCCUGCCUAAAGAUGCUAAAGUGGAGUGGAAGGACAAAAACAACAGGGAGGUCCAUGUGUAUCAGAAUGGCUCUUACCAGAAGGAAGAACAGCACCAGGUUUACAGAGACCGAACGAAGAUGAAGAAAAACUUAGUUCCUGGAGACCUCAGUCUGACCCUGAAAUACCCCACUGAUGGAGACACAAACACCUACACCUGCACCGUCUACAGCAGGGAGGGAAACAUCCUGCUGAAGAAACAAGUGGAGCUGAAAGUCAGAGUCCUCCAGGUGGAGGUGGAUUCAGAGGUGGAGUCUGUCCAGCUGCCCUUCAAUACCACACUUCACCUGCCUGAAGAUGCUAAAGUGGAGUGGAUAGACAGUGAUGGUUUUAAAGUCCAUGUGUAUGAGAACGGCUCUGACCGGCCUGAGGAACAGGACAAGGCUUAUGAAGAACGAGCAAAAAUGAAUGAAGACCUGCUGAAAACUGGAGACCUCAGUCUGACCCUGAAAUACCCCACAGAUGGAGACAACAGGACCUACACCUGCACCAUCUACAGCAGGGAGAGAAACAUUCUGAUGAAAAGAAAGGUGGAGCUGAAAGUCAGAGUCUGUCAGGUGGAGGUGGAGGAGGGGGUGGAGUCUGUUCAUCUACCCUUCAAAACCUCAAAAAACCUGCCUGAAGAUGCUGGAGUGGGGUGGGAACGUGAAGAGCCCAAACCAUCACUUAAGGUCCACGUGUACGAGAACGGCUCUGACCAGCCUGAAGAACAGCACCAGUUUUACAGAGACAGAACGAAGAUGAAUGAAGACCUGCUGAAAACUGGAGACCUCAGUCUGACCCUGAAACACCCCACAGAGAGAGACAGUGGGAGAUAUGGAUGUGCAGUCAAGAGCAACGGAUGGCUCUACAGAUGUAAAACAGUGCAUCUCAACGUCAAAGGGAGAGUUCAGGUCCAGGAUCAAACAGGGGACAUCAGGAACAGAAGCAGCUCCAUUGAUCCGACUCCUCUGAUGGCUGAUCAAUCAGUUUGAUCUGUGUGUUCUUUGAUUAUUGAUCAGUGAUGUCAGAGUGGAGUCAGUGUGAUGUUGUUGUUGUGUGUUUGAGACUUUUAGUGUCCAUGAAGGUCUCUUCUGCCGUAGAUCCUCUGAACUGUGACAGAGGUCUCACUCUGGAGGAAACUCUCAGCACUUUCCAGCAGCUCCUCCAUCAUGGAGGACGUUCCCUCACUGUAACAGGUGGAGGAGAGAGGAGAGGAAGCACAGGUGGAUCCUCUGAGGAAGAGGAGCGUUCCUACAAACCACAUGAUCAUAUGACCAGAGGACAAGCAUGUGUGGAAACUAGAGAUGGCACGAUACCACUUUUUUAUGUCCGAUACCGAUAUGAAUCCGAUAUAGUGUAUUUAUUAAUCAAUAAAACUGUUUUUUUAAUAUCUUGCUGCAUUUUGUAUAAGUUCAUACUCAAGUUUAACAAACAAACACUAAAGCUAUUCUGUUAUACCUGUAUGCAAAAAAUACACUGCACCCAAAAUAUUUCAUAGUUCAGC